GAUGAAGAACGUAGCGAAAUGCGAUAAGUAGUGUGAAUUGCAGAAUUCAGUGAAUCAUCGAAUCUUUGAACGCACAUUGCGCCCCUUGGUAUUCCAUGGGGCAUGCCUGUUCGAGCGUCAUUUGUACCUUCAAGCUUUGCUUGGUGUUGGGUGUUUGUCUCGCCUUUGCGUGUAGACUCGCCUUAAAAUAAUUGGCAGCCGGCGUAUUGAUUUCGGAGCGCAGUACAUCUCGCGCUUUGCACUCAUAACGACAGCGUCCAGAAGUACAUUUUACACUCUUGACCUCGGAUCAGGUAGGGAUACCCGCUGAACUUAAGCAUAUCAAUAAGCGGAGGA
Molecule: unclassified non-coding RNA, 336 nt
Filed under: soil metagenome
Description: partial contains 5.8S ribosomal RNA, internal transcribed spacer 2, and large subunit ribosomal RNA
Rfam family: 5.8S ribosomal RNA (bases 1-120)
Source: RNAcentral